RNAcentral lists this ribosomal RNA (254 nucleotides) under uncultured bacterium. RNAcentral describes it as "partial 16S ribosomal RNA". It matches the Rfam family "Bacterial small subunit ribosomal RNA", at positions 524 to 776 of the family's 1533-position model. The record is from RNAcentral.
UACGAAGGGGGGCUAGCGUUGCUCGGAAUCACUGGGCGUAAAGGGCGCGUAGGCGGCCGAUUAAGUCGGGGGUGAAAGCCUGUGGCUCAACCACAGAAUUGCCUUCGAUACUGGUUGGCUUGAGACCGGAAGAGGACAGCGGAACUGCGAGUGUAGAGGUGAAAUUCGUAGAUAUUCGCAAGAACACCAGUGGCGAAGGCGGCUGUCUGGUCCGGUUCUGACGCUGAGGCGCGAAAGCGUGGGGAGCAAACAGG